GGCGCACGGGUGCGUAACGCGUAUGCAACCUACCUUUUACUGGGGGAUAGCCCGGAGAAAUCCGGAUUAAUACCGCAUAACAUCCUUUGAGGGCAUCCUCUGGAGGAUUAAAGAUUUAUUGGUAAAAGAUGGGCAUGCGUGCCAUUAGCUAGUUGGUGGUGUAACGGACCACCAAGGCGACGAUGGCUAGGGGUUCUGAGAGGAUGAUCCCCCACACUGGUACUGAGAUACGGACCAGACUCCUACGGGAGGCAGCAGUGGGGAAUAUUGCGCAAUGGGCGAAAGCCUGACGCAGCGACGCCGCGUGAGGGAUGACGGCCUUCGGGUUGUAAACCUCUUUCAGUAGGGACGAAGCGAAAGUGACGGUACCUACAGAAGAAGCACCGGCCAACUACGUGCCAGCCGCCGCGG
Molecule: ribosomal RNA, 411 nt
Filed under: uncultured bacterium
Lineage: Bacteria
Description: bacterial SSU rRNA
Rfam family: Bacterial small subunit ribosomal RNA
Source: RNAcentral